RNAcentral lists this transfer RNA (87 nucleotides) under Clostridiales bacterium. RNAcentral describes it as "tRNA-Leu". It matches the Rfam family "tRNA". From Rfam's summary of the family: Transfer RNA (tRNA) molecules are approximately 80 nucleotides in length. Their secondary structure includes four short double-helical elements and three loops (D, anti-codon, and T loops). Further hydrogen bonds mediate the characteristic L-shaped molecular structure. tRNAs have two regions of fundamental functional importance: the anti-codon, which is responsible for specific mRNA codon recognition, and the 3' end, to which the tRNAs corresponding amino acid is attached (by aminoacyl-tRNA synthetases). tRNAs cope with the degeneracy of the genetic code in two manners: having more than one tRNA (with a specific anti-codon) for a particular amino acid; and 'wobble' base-pairing, i.e. permitting non-standard base-pairing at the 3rd anti-codon position. Lineage: Bacteria; Bacillati; Bacillota; Clostridia; Eubacteriales. The record is from RNAcentral.
GCCGCUGUGGUGGAAUCGGCAGACACAAGGGACUUAAAAUCCCUCGGUAGCAAUACCGUGACAGUUCAAGUCUGUUCAGCGGCACCA